This 75-nucleotide transfer RNA is filed under the name Aspergillus nidulans. Its description in RNAcentral is "tRNA-Tyr". It matches the Rfam family "tRNA". From Rfam's summary of the family: Transfer RNA (tRNA) molecules are approximately 80 nucleotides in length. Their secondary structure includes four short double-helical elements and three loops (D, anti-codon, and T loops). Further hydrogen bonds mediate the characteristic L-shaped molecular structure. tRNAs have two regions of fundamental functional importance: the anti-codon, which is responsible for specific mRNA codon recognition, and the 3' end, to which the tRNAs corresponding amino acid is attached (by aminoacyl-tRNA synthetases). tRNAs cope with the degeneracy of the genetic code in two manners: having more than one tRNA (with a specific anti-codon) for a particular amino acid; and 'wobble' base-pairing, i.e. permitting non-standard base-pairing at the 3rd anti-codon position. The record is from RNAcentral. Lineage: Eukaryota; Fungi; Ascomycota; Eurotiomycetes; Eurotiales; Aspergillaceae. RNAcentral also lists the same sequence under 1 other name.
CCCCUUGUGGUGUAGUUGGUUUAUCACGUCUGACUGUAAAUCAGAAGGUCACCGGCUCGACUCCGGUCGAGGGGA